Molecule: long non-coding RNA, 553 nt
Filed under: Bos taurus (domestic cattle)
Lineage: Eukaryota; Metazoa; Chordata; Mammalia; Artiodactyla; Bovidae
Description: long non-coding RNA NONBTAT022125
Source: RNAcentral
AAAAAGAAAACUCCCUUAAUCAGCACCAGUCCUCAGGGCUGUGUUAAAAGUGUCGUGUCCUGUAUACAUGGAGUUUCAAGAUUAAUGUUGUAUUGCACUCUCAAAUCAAGUACCAUGAUUUGGAAAUUAUGAAGUUGUUACAUCUUGGGAUUUCCUUUCUCUGAGUUCCCACAUCUGGAUGACCAAGGCCCCAGUCCACCAUUCAAAUAAUACUUUCUUUAGCUAUUCAUGCAUGGUUUUAAUUCCCCCCUAAACUUGUCCAAAGUGCUGGUUUUAAUAUUGAAAGCAUGUCUUAUUCUUUGUAUGUAGUUUCCUGCCGAAAGAGAAGAUAAUGGAAAGCGGGAAACGUACUGGGCAGCAUUUCUAGGUCAGCAGAGGGGUAGCAUCAUCUGGCUGGGAGAGGCCUCACUCCCCUUCACCCACCCAUGGCCACUGUCCUCUGACCCUUGUGAGUUGAUGGGGAUGGAGGCAGGGGUUAGGUAACUAUCUUUGUUUACCUACAAAAACAAACUUGUUAUAUUUUUGGUGGGGAAGUGGGUAUCUCUGUUUCCAU